This 253-nucleotide ribosomal RNA is filed under the name uncultured bacterium. RNAcentral describes it as "partial 16S ribosomal RNA". It matches the Rfam family "Bacterial small subunit ribosomal RNA", at positions 524 to 776 of the family's 1533-position model. The record is from RNAcentral.
CACGUAGGGCGCAAGCGUUGUCCGGAAUUAUUGGGCGUAAAGCGCACGUAGGCGGAUUGUUAAGUCAGGGGUGAAAUCCUGGAGCUCAACUCCAGAACUGCCUUUGAUACUGGCGAUCUUGAGUCCGGGAGAGGUGAGUGGAACUGCGAGUGUAGAGGUGAAAUUCGUAGAUAUUCGCAAGAACACCAGUGGCGAAGGCGGCUCACUGGCCCGGUACUGACGCUGAGGUGCGAAAGCGUGGGGAGCAAACAGG